AGAGUUUGAUCCUGGCUCAGGAUGAACGCUGGCGGCGUGCCUAAUACAUGCAAGUCGAGCGAACGGACGAGAAGCUUGCUUCUCUGAUGUUAGCGGCGGACGGGUGAGUAACACGUGGAUAACCUACCUAUAAGACUGGGAUAACUUCGGGAAACCGGAGCUAAUACCGGAUAAUAUUUUGAACCGCAUGGUUCAAAAGUGAAAGACGGUCUUGCUGUCACUUAUAGAUGGAUCCGCGCUGCAUUAGCUAGUUGGUAAGGUAACGGCUUACCAAGGCAACGAUGCAUAGCCGACCUGAGAGGGUGAUCGGCCACACUGGAACUGAGACACGGUCCAGACUCCUACGGGAGGCAGCAGUAGGGAAUCUUCCGCAAUGGGCGAAAGCCUGACGGAGCAACGCCGCGUGAGUGAUGAAGGUCUUCGGAUCGUAAAACUCUGUUAUUAGGGAAGAACAUAUGUGUAAGUAACUGUGCACAUCUUGACGGUACCUAAUCAGAAAGCCACGGCUAACUACGUGCCAGCAGCCGCGGUAAUACGUAGGUGGCAAGCGUUAUCCGGAAUUAUUGGGCGUAAAGCGCGCGUAGGCGGUUUUUUAAGUCUGAUGUGAAAGCCCACGGCUCAACCGUGGAGGGUCAUUGGAAACUGGAAAACUUGAGUGCAGAAGAGGAAAGUGGAAUUCCAUGUGUAGCGGUGAAAUGCGCAGAGAUAUGGAGGAACACCAGUGGCGAAGGCGACUUUCUGGUCUGUAACUGACGCUGAUGUGCGAAAGCGUGGGGGUCAAACAGGAUUAGAUACCCUGGUAGUCCACGCCGUAAACGAUGAGUGCUAAGUGUUAGGGGGUUUCCGCCCCUUAGUGCUGCAGCUAACGCAUUAAGCACUCCGCCUGGGGAGUACGACCGCAAGGUUGAAACUCAAAGGAAUUGACGGGGACCCGCACAAGCGGUGGAGCAUGUGGUUUAAUUCGAAGCAACGCGAAGAACCUUACCAAAUCUUGACAUCCUUUGACAACUCUAGAGAUAGAGCCUUCCCCUUCGGGGGACAAAGUGACAGGUGGUGCAUGGUUGUCGUCAGCUCGUGUCGUGAGAUGUUGGGUUAAGUCCCGCAACGAGCGCAACCCUUAAGCUUAGUUGCCAUCAUUAAGUUGGGCACUCUAAGUUGACUGCCGGUGACAAACCGGAGGAAGGUGGGGAUGACGUCAAAUCAUCAUGCCCCUUAUGAUUUGGGCUACACACGUGCUACAAUGGACAAUACAAAGGGCAGCGAAACCGCGAGGUCAAGCAAAUCCCAUAAAGUUGUUCUCAGUUCGGAUUGUAGUCUGCAACUCGACUACAUGAAGCUGGAAUCGCUAGUAAUCGUAGAUCAGCAUGCUACGGUGAAUACGUUCCCGGGUCUUGUACACACCGCCCGUCACACCACGAGAGUUUGUAACACCCGAAGCCGGUGGAGUAACCUUUUAGGAGCUAGCCGUCGAAGGUGGGACAAAUGAUUGGGGUGAAGUCGUAACAAGGUAGCCGUAUCGGAAGGUGCGGCUGGAUCACCU
This 1540-nucleotide ribosomal RNA is filed under the name Staphylococcus aureus M0710. Its description in RNAcentral is "16S ribosomal RNA". It matches the Rfam family "Bacterial small subunit ribosomal RNA". Lineage: Bacteria; Bacillati; Bacillota; Bacilli; Caryophanales; Staphylococcaceae. The record is from RNAcentral.